GCCGAAGUGGUGAAAUGGCAGACACGCUACGUUCAGGGCGUAGUGAGCAUUAGCUCAUGUGGGUUCAAGUCCCACCUUCGGCA
Molecule: transfer RNA, 83 nt
Filed under: Candidatus Melainabacteria bacterium
Lineage: Bacteria; Bacillati; Candidatus Melainabacteria
Also listed under: 1 other name
Description: tRNA-Leu
Rfam family: tRNA
About the family: Transfer RNA (tRNA) molecules are approximately 80 nucleotides in length.
Source: RNAcentral